Pseudoliparis swirei is the source of this 853-nucleotide long non-coding RNA. RefSeq lists it as uncharacterized. NCBI's taxonomy places the organism in Eukaryota, Metazoa, Chordata, Actinopteri, Perciformes, Liparidae. The record is from RefSeq and is a predicted model, not a curated record. The transcript is spliced from 3 exons.
UAAUCAAUCGGAAAAAUAUAUUAUUUUGAAAAAGGAGCGGAUCCACCCGUGUGUACGUCUGAGCCACGUUCAGGAGUCUUAAAGUUCGGGUUUAUCGCUGCAGGCGAGUCUCACGCGCCGAACCCUCUGCUGGCGGCACAUUUCAGUGACAAAGAAUCUUAAAACGGAUUCAACCUGCUCAAUGAAUUCUGUCACUUCAGGGAAAUGACAACUGUUUUCAAGUUGGCCGAUGAAGUCGCUGCUGUGUGGGCGAGUGAACAGCGGAAUAUUCUACAUGUUUCAGACGUUGCCCGGGUGGAAGAGGCUUUUAAAAGAGUUUGAGCGGUACUCCAACCACAAAAGACCCGACUGCAAAAGAAUAGACCUGCAACCCAUUUGUAAACAAACCCACCCGGUGAAUCGAGCCCGUCCGAGCAAGAAUUUUUUUGUUCGAGAUGCAAAUGACGGUGGCCUUAAGGGACAUUUCACACAACAACUCUGCCUGUUCUAAUGACAGCGACCAGAACUCGGUUAGGAGCAGCGGACCAAACGUCUGUGUCGCCGUCUCCAUCAGCGGCUCGUUGCAGAUCCACAGCAGACCAGCAGCCCACCUGACAAGGGCCGCCCUGUUUUUGGGUGGAAGAAAUCUCCCGAGGUCAUUUUCCAACUCACCCUUUCCUCUGGCUAACGUCAGCGACGCUUCAUUCUGAACAGGACAUCUAUUGGUCCUGUCCAUCCUGGAGAGGGACCCAACUCUGUUGAAGGUUUCUUCAAUGUUUUCCCUGUGAAAGUUUUUUUUUAAUUUCUUUAGUUUUUCCUGAUCCGAUGUGAGGUCAAAGGUCAGGGAUGUCUAUGUGUACAGAUUGUAAAGCCC